CCCUUAGAUGUCCUGGGCCGCACGCGCGCUACACUGAUGCAUUCAACGAGUUUUACCUUGGCCGAGAGGCCUGGGCAAUCUUUUAAACCUGCAUCGUGAUAGGGAUAGAUUAUUGCAAUUAUCAAUCUUGAACGAGGAAUUCCUAGUAAACGCAAAUCAUCAAUUUGCAUUGAUUACGUCCCUGCCCUUUGUACACACCGCCCGUCGCACCUACCGAUUGAAUGAUCCGGUGAAGCCUCGGGAUUGUGGCCAGUUCACUUUAUUGGGAGUUGGCUGUGAGAACUUGUCUAAACCUUAUCGUUUUAGAGGAAGGUGAANUCGUANCA
This 326-nucleotide ribosomal RNA is filed under the name uncultured eukaryote. RNAcentral describes it as "partial 18S ribosomal RNA". It matches the Rfam family "Eukaryotic small subunit ribosomal RNA", at positions 1470 to 1796 of the family's 1831-position model. The record is from RNAcentral.